CCUACGGGGGGCUGCAGUAGGGAAUAUUGCUCAAUGGGGGAAACCCUGAAGCAGCAACGCCGCGUGGAGGAUGAAGGUUUUCGGAUUGUUAACUCCUUUUGUUAGAGAAGAUAAUGACUGUAUCUAACGAAUAAGCACCGGCUAAAUCCGUGCCAGCAGCCGCGGUAAUACGGAGGGUGCAAGCGUUACUCGGAAUCACUGGGCGUAAAGAGCGCGUAGGCGGGAUAGCAAGUCAGAUGUGAAAUCCUAUGGCUUAACCAUAGAACUGCAGUUGAAACUGGUAGUCUAGAGUAUGGGAGAGGUAGGUGGAAUUCGUGGUGUAGGGGUGAAAUGCGUAGAGAUCAAGAAGAAUACUGAUUGCGAAGGCGACCUGCUAGAACAUAACUGACGCUGAUGCGCGAAAGCGUGGGUAGCAAACAGGAUUAGAUACCCGAGUAGUC
RNAcentral lists this ribosomal RNA (440 nucleotides) under uncultured bacterium. Its description in RNAcentral is "partial 16S ribosomal RNA". It matches the Rfam family "Bacterial small subunit ribosomal RNA", at positions 338 to 795 of the family's 1533-position model. The record is from RNAcentral.